GAACGCACAUUGCGCCCAUUAGUAUUCUAGUGGGCAUGCCUGUUCGAGCGUCAUUAAGUCCACUUAAGCCCUUGCUUAGUAUUGGGAAUCUACUUUCAGAAGCUACCCUGUAGCUACCCUGUAGUUCCUCAAAGACAGCGGCGGAGUCGUGGUUUUCUCCGAGCUUAGUAAUUUUUUCUAGCUUUCGAGUUGCCACUGCCCCUGCCGUAAAACACCCUUUAUUUUUUAAUGGUUGACCUCGGAUCAGGUAGGAAUACCCGCUGAACUUAAG
This 271-nucleotide unclassified non-coding RNA is filed under the name uncultured fungus. RNAcentral describes it as "sequence contains 5.8S rRNA gene". The stretch from base 1 to 53 matches the Rfam family "5.8S ribosomal RNA", at positions 102 to 154 of the family's 154-position model. The record is from RNAcentral. Lineage: Eukaryota; Fungi.